This is an RNA transcript of Daucus carota subsp. sativus, 3607 nucleotides long. It is a transcript of the gene named eukaryotic initiation factor 4A-2-like, with no coding region annotated. The transcript has 7 exons. The record is from RefSeq and is a predicted model, not a curated record. Lineage: Eukaryota; Viridiplantae; Streptophyta; Magnoliopsida; Apiales; Apiaceae.
GACCAGAAAUAAUGAAGUAGCACAGAGCUAGAGAGAGAAGUAAAAAGAGGGGGAGCGAGAGAGGGAAAGAGAUAGAGAGCUAGAAAGAUCAGCGGAGAAGUAAAGAAGAGAAGGGAGAGACUGAUGUUGCUAACAUAUUUUUGCCAAGUUUUUAACUCUUCUCUUUCAAAAAUCGUAAACUUGUAAUAGAAUCAAGACGACACUAAUUUUGCAAUCAUUACGUUAAAAAAGUAAUCAUGGCUGGGGCUGCAGAAGGUUCUCAAUUUGAUGCACGCCAAUUUGACGCAAAAAUGACUGAGAUACUUAAUACUGAGGGAGAAGAAUUUUUCACAUCAUAUGAUGAAGUUCAUGACAGUUUUGAUGCUAUGGGAUUGCACGAAAACCUUUUGAGGGGCAUCUAUGCUUACGGUUUUGAAAAGCCAUCCGCAAUUCAGCAGCGAGGGAUUGUUCCAUUCUGCAAGGGGCUAGAUGUUAUUCAACAGGCACAAUCUGGUACAGGGAAAACAGCAACUUUCUGCUCUGGAGUUCUGCAGCAGCUUGAUUAUGGUGUUAUUGAAUGUCAAGCAUUGGUUCUUGCUCCCACUCGUGAACUAGCACAACAAAUUGAAAAGGUUAUGCGAGCACUUGGUGACUAUCUCGGUGUAAGGGUUCAUACUUGUGUGGGUGGGACUGUUGUCCGCGAAGAUCAACGAAUUCUGUCAAGUGGAGUUCAUGUCGUGGUUGGUACUCCUGGCCGUGUAUUCGACAUGUUGCGUAGACAAUCACUUCGCUCAGAUUACAUCAAGAUGUUUGUUCUCGAUGAAGCAGAUGAAAUGCUCUCAAGAGGUUUCAAGGAUCAGAUUUAUGAUAUAUUUCAGUUGCUACCAUCGAAAGUUCAGGUUGGAGUUUUUUCCGCUACUAUGCCUCCCGAGGCUCUUGAAAUUACUAGAAAGUUCCUGAAUAAGCCUGUGAGGAUUCUCGUAAAAAGAGAUGAGCUUACUCUUGAGGGUAUUAAACAGUUUUAUGUGAAUGUUGACAAGGAGGAAUGGAAACUGGAAACACUAUGUGAUUUAUACGAGACUUUGGCCAUUACCCAGAGUGUGAUUUUCAUCAAUACCAGGCGCAAGGUUGAUUGGCUGACUGACCAAAUGCGCAGCCGUGAUCACACAGUGUCUGCCACUCAUGGUGACAUGGAUCAGAAUACGAGAGACAUAAUUAUGCGUGAGUUUCGCUCUGGUUCUUCCCGCGUGCUCAUUACAACUGAUCUCCUGGCACGUGGUAUAGAUGUCCAGCAAGUGUCCCUUGUGAUAAACUAUGACCUGCCGACUCAGCCAGAGAACUACCUUCAUCGGAUUGGACGCAGUGGCCGUUUUGGAAGGAAGGGUGUUGCGAUCAACUUUGUUACCAGGGAUGAUGACAGGAUGUUGGUCGACAUACAGAAGUUCUAUAAUGUGUUGGUCGAGGAGCUGCCAGCAAAUGUUGCCGAUCUUCUUUAGUGUGGAACUGAUGUGACAAGACUGAAAAAAACAAAAUAGCAUUGGUCCCCAAUAUCCUGCAUUUUCUCAUGGCUCGUAUGCAAAUCGUUUAUUUCCAGCUCUAGUAAUCUAUAAUCAGGUUAGUGUGGAAAAUUAUAUCUUGUUCAAGGAGAUUUGUUGUCCUUUUGAUUAAUACCAAGUGUUUUUGUCCUGUUUAUAAUUGAGUUGUUGAACAAUAAGCCCUUAACAAACUAAGCCACAAUUGAAUCCUCUGAAAUUUACAUAGAUGUAGGCAUUGAUUAUAUGUGUUAUGUUUGCAUUCCUUCGCUAGCUGUAUGUUUACUUGACAGGAAGACUUGCUUCGAAGGGUCAAAAGAUCAGUGAGAACUUCUAUUUCAGAAGCGAUUGCUCUGUAAGUUGUGAUUGCCUAAUUGGCAUGUACAGUUUUACUGUAAGUGUAAAUAAACUCUUCUAAGCCACAUUUUUACCAAAAUUUAUGUAUAAUCCCAGCCGCCUUCUACUUUUCUGAAUAGUUCUUGGGAAAUUUUGUCGAGAAAAUAGAUUUGAUACCAAAUAGCAGUGCUGCAAACAAAUGUAUCCGUAAGAGAAAUUGUAAUGAAUAGCUUAGUCUUAUUCAGUAUCUGAAUCUGCUUUUGAUCGUAGGGCGUUGGUUUUUACUAUAGGUUACUGCUGUACUUGGUAGAAAAAUUACGCUUCCUGCUUAUUUGUCUACUGUUCUAAGAUUAACUACUAAAUUGAUUGAGUUUUCUUACAACCUAUAUAUGUAGAAGAUAAGUCAUGGGAAGUAGAUUCAAUUUGUUUUAAGCACGUUGUUUUGAAUUCUUGGAUCAUAUAAGUAUUUCUAAGUUCUUUUCAGGUUUCUGCUGCUUGUGCGGUGUGACUCAUAUAAUGCGCUUCUUCAAGUGCUUUCUUUUUUACAUUUAUGUGGUAGCUUCCAACAUUUAAAAUAUUGUCUUCAGUUUCUUCUUUCUCUUACUGUUACAUCAAAGCUCCCGCUGAGAAGCGUGAUGCUUUAAAUUUUUAUUUGUUCCUGCUGUUGGCCUGCUGUAGAAGCUCGACAUGGACAGACCUUAAAGUUCUACAGUGGUUGAUUCAUUCUUUUCUUAUUUACUGUCGCCAAAAUAUUCAAUCCCAUUUCUUUGUUACAUCUGUGUGGCAUCUACAACAUUGCCAGAAUUUAGCAUAAUAUUGUUUGAUAUCUGAAAAAUAUCUGUAAUGUUGUUUUACUAUGGAUUCUGAUUGAGUAAGUGCAUGUUUUCUGUUGUCUGAGUGUAACUGUCUUCUUUACAGUGAAUGGGUUCGAGCCACUUAAACAGUUUGAGCUUUUCAUUCAUGAUCGAGACUGAAGUCAAGCUACAACUCCCUUUGAAGGAGAGUUCCAAGUCUGUUAACAGAGUGAUAGAGCCGGCAACUCAGUCUGAAAUUGAAUAUCUGAAGGAAUAGUUGAAAUAUUUGAUUAUUGUGGCAAAUGUAAGAGACUGGAGUUUCAAGAUAAAAGCACUUCCUAAGGAGAACCAGCACACAUGCAAAUCACCUGGGCUAAUGUUAAGGGAAUCAGCUCUUUAGAGCAUGUGGGUCCUUUUUAAUGUUACAUAAGCAUCAUCCAGUGGAUUUUAAAAAGACCCCGGUCACACUGCUUCAAUGCACGAGCCCAUUUCCACUUACAGAUGAGUACAUCAAAUCUUAUCUUUCUUUAUAUAAUAUUGUUUUAAUUUAUAAUAUAAUUCUCAAGCAUUUGGAACUUGAGAAUUUGGAUUUGAAGAAUAAGAAUGUAAAAGUAGAUGCACAUUUAUAAAGAUUGUACAAAUGAAUGCAUAAGGACCAAAAAUAAGCACAGGUAGCAGGAGUUUACCGGGCUAUGCCCGGUUUUUGCUUUUACUCCUGUGGGUUGGGAUGCUCUUAGGCUCAACGUCCUUGCAGAAAAAUCAUCAGGAGGAUUCUGUAAAAUGAUUUCUCAAUAGUUUCUUGACCUUGUGGUGACAGCUGAGAAGAGAAGGCACUCCAAGUAAUGUCCGAAACUAUUGGUUCAAAUCUACAUUUCUCUUCACUUGUAUAUUUUCUCAAAAAAAGAACUUGUAUUAUGAAAUUGAUGACCAAUUUGUGUAAAUGAAAAAAAGAUCCAUUAUUAGUUA